Molecule: long non-coding RNA, 2381 nt
Organism: Ictidomys tridecemlineatus (thirteen-lined ground squirrel)
Lineage: Eukaryota; Metazoa; Chordata; Mammalia; Rodentia; Sciuridae
Source: RefSeq, a predicted model, not a curated record
GCUCUAGGGCUAAAGUGCCCCGGUGGUGCCCAUUUCAGACACGGGGUGGUCCAGGGAACACGGCGGGGGCACAGGUAGGGCUUUCUGGACAAGGUGCAGCAAAUCAGGAGAAAACCCAGUUCUGACCCCCAGUUCCUUACUCAGUGGCUGUUUUCAGGGCCUGUCCCUCCUGCAGUGUCCAGAAGGGGCCACCGGCAGGUCAGCCUUGACUUCCAGCUCAGCGUGACCGGUGACCGGUGACCGUCGGCGGACCUCUGACCCCAGCAGAGCUCAGCGUUUCCGAGGACGAGGACGCACCCUUCUGAAUGGAACCCAGGCCUCACCCAUCCUGGGCCGGCACUCCACCAGGAGCUACGCCCCACCCAGGAAGCCCCUCGUAGCCCACAGACCCAGAGCUCUGAGGGUCGGGCUCUGCCUAACUCGGCCUGCAGGCAGAAGGAGCUGUGUGAGGCGACGGAGCAGAAGAAAAAUGAGCGCUGUCCUGUUCUCCCCGGAACCCGUGUGCGCCGGCCUCCCAUGCACAGGAGAGUCAACGCCUCUCUUUGUUUUAAAUUAGUCUGUGUGUGUCUCCAUCACUCUUGACCAAGAGUCCUAAUGAAUUCUGCGUGAUGAUGUCACUUUUCCCCAUGAUGGAGCCGGGCUUCCGAGCUGAGGACCUGAUCCGCUGUGGCCACCCGGCUGCCGCUGGUGGGCCUUGGAGAGACGCCAGGUGUGAGGACGGCACCUCCGCCGUCUCCCCCUUCGCUCAUCCCGAGUCCUCCUCUCCACAUCCCGGGGACAGUGAUUUCUUCUCUGUGUGACCCCUGCGGUUUGGAUUCACAUAGAUCUCGGAGCUCCUGUGACAGCCCCCAUUGCCAUCCCUGCCCGUCACCCCUGAAGUGUGCUUGAAUUUCUCAGACCUUUGUCCCCAACAGGCUCAGAAAAUAUGGUCCCCAUUACCGCACAGCCUCCCUUCGCCGCUCCACUCCUCACUGUCUCGUUAAGAGGGGAGAAAGGCGCAGAGCGCGGGGAGGGCGACAAGGGGCGCCCGGAGUGGGAGGGGACGGCAGACACAAAGGGUGGACAGGUGACAAAGGGCCAGGAAACCAGGUCAGGGGAGGAGGAGGAGGAGGAGGGACGGGAAGAUGCCAAGGGACACCGGCAUCUGGUCCUGUGGCCUCUCUUACUGCCCUCGAUGGCUCCCCAACCCCCAAGGCUCCCUCCCCGGCCAGAGCCCCUGCUUGGCUGACCCUGCCACUCCCCACUGGCAGGCUGUCCAGGUGUCCCUGGGACCGCUCAUGGUCUCAGCGCCCAACACGUCACACGACUCCUGCUGAUUUUCAGGUCCUUCGCUGAUUUUAAAAUCCCAUGCCCAUCUCUAAGAAGAUGGUCUGGCUGCCGCGUGGGGAACAGGCUUCAGGCGGGAAGGUGGCCCGGAGAGGCCAGCGAGGGGCCUCUGUCGGAGUCCCCUCCGUGACUGGAGAUGGGCUGGGCUGUCGGUGGUGGAGGGAGGAGCCGGAUUCCGGAUGAUUCUGGAACAUAGUGGGUGGGGAGUGAAGGAGGGAGAUCCAGGGAGAUGGAGGAAGCGGGUGGCCGUGGGGUCUGCUUGGCCGCUGGUCCCUGGACAGACUGACAGCUUCCCAGCGAGGCCAGGUCUGCUGGGAUGGCAGGAUGACCCCGAGUCCUGGCACACGACCGGGUCUCAGUCCAUAUCUGUUAAGUGAAUGGAUGAAAUCAAGAGAGACACCGAAGGAAAGAGAACGAGGGGGCAAGACAGCACCCAGAGGCCGCCAGAGAGCCCCGGGGACCUCGGCGGCUCUGUCUGGUGGGGGCCUCAUGGGGUGGGCCUCCACGGCUCCAGGCACAGUGACUCGAGGUCUCCUUACCUCUGAGCACGUGGAGGUGGGCACGUUUUCAAGUUGGGAACGGCUUUGCGAUUCUCUCUGAUCAAUAAACUCUGAGCAUACGUUUCUCAUCUGGGCGGCAACUGCAAGAGCUAGUAAAUGAUUUGCUACGUGUCCUCCCACGGUCAGGGGAGCCCAUGUGGAGAUGAAGCCCUGUCAGCUGGGGCUCCUGAAGGACCUCGGUGAGCAGAACUCCUGCCAUCUGUGUUGCCCGUGCAGGGGGAGUGGGAGAGAAACUCUCAUCUGUGCUCAGCGACCGGGAUAUUGGAGAUAUUUGUUACUGCAGCAAAUCGAUUCCAUCCUGACUAAUACACUGGAGAAGCUGUCUGGCUGAGGCUUCCGUUAAUAUUAUGGAGGCAGUAAUUUAAUUUCAGUGCCCACUGUCCUAUCUGUCUCCUGAUCCAACACUCACCACUUGGUCCCCAGAUACAGAUGCCUCUUCCCUCCCUGGAAAUGAGGUUCCCAAGGCCCAGUGAAGGGGGCUGUUACCAGCUCUGC